UACGGAGGGAGCUAGCGUUGUUCGGAAAUACUGGGCGUAAAGCGCACGUAGGCGGCGCAGCAAGUCAGGGGUGAAAUCCCGGGGCUCAACCCCGGAACUGCCCUUGAAACUGCAGUGCUAGAAUUCUGGAGAGGCGAGUGGAAUUCCGAGUGUAGAGGUGAAAUUCGUAGAUAUUCGGAGGAACACCAGUGGCGAAGGCGACUCGCUGGACAGACAUUGACGCUGAGGUGCGAAAGCGUGGGGAGCAAACAGG
Molecule: ribosomal RNA, 253 nt
Filed under: uncultured bacterium
Lineage: Bacteria
Description: partial 16S ribosomal RNA
Rfam family: Bacterial small subunit ribosomal RNA
Source: RNAcentral